Schistocerca serialis cubense is the source of this 443-nucleotide long non-coding RNA. RefSeq lists it as uncharacterized. NCBI's taxonomy places the organism in Eukaryota, Metazoa, Arthropoda, Insecta, Orthoptera, Acrididae. The record is from RefSeq and is a predicted model, not a curated record. The transcript has 2 exons.
GCACUCAAACACAAUUACGCUGUUAUCCCUAAGGUAACUUAAUCUUAUGAUCAUAAAUUAUGGAUCAAAACAACAAACAUAAAUAAAUGAUAUAAUAAUGAAGAAUAAAUAAACUCUUCAUUAUUAUAUCAUUUAUUUAUGUUUGUUGUUUUGAUCCAUAAUUUAUGAUCAUAAGAUUAAGUUACCUUAGGGAUAACAGCGUAAUUGUUUUUGAGAGCUCAUAUCGACAAAGCAGAUUGCGACCUCGAUGUUGGAUUAAGAAAAUUUUUGGGUGCAGUAGCCCAUUAAUUAGGUCUGUUCGACCUUUAAAUUCUUACAUGAUGUGAGUUCAGACCAGCGUGAGCAAGGUCGGUUUCUAUCCUAAGAUUAUUAAUUCAUAUUAGUACGAAAGGACCAUAUGAUUGAAAUAUUUUUUAAUUUAUUGAUUAAUAUUAAUUAGAUUA